This 439-nucleotide ribosomal RNA is filed under the name uncultured bacterium. RNAcentral's name for it is "partial 16S ribosomal RNA". It matches the Rfam family "Bacterial small subunit ribosomal RNA", at positions 339 to 795 of the family's 1533-position model. The record is from RNAcentral.
CUACGGGCGGCAGCAGUGAGGAAUAUUGCACAAUGGGGGGAACCCUGAUGCAGCAACGCCGCGUGGAGGAUGACGCAUUUCGGCGUGUAAACUCCUUUUAUAUGUCAAGAAAAUGACGGUAGCAUAUGAAUAAGCACCGGCUAACUCCGUGCCAGCAGCCGCGGUAAUACGGAGGGUGCAAGCGUUACUCGGAAUCACUGGGCGUAAAGGACGCGUAGGCGGGUUGGAAAGUCAGGUGUGAAAUCCUACAGCUUAACUGUAGAACUGCACUUGAAACUUCUAAUCUAGAGUAUGGGAGGGGGAGAUGGAAUUAGUGGUGUAGGGGUAACAUCCGUAGAUAUCACUAGGAAUACCUAAAGCGAAGUCGAUCUCCUGGAACAUUACUGACGCUAAGGCGUGAAAGCGUGGGGAGCAAACAGGAUUAGAUACCCCGGUAGUC